RNAcentral lists this long non-coding RNA (833 nucleotides) under Mus musculus (house mouse). RNAcentral describes it as "long non-coding RNA chrX:74486588-74487421". Lineage: Eukaryota; Metazoa; Chordata; Mammalia; Rodentia; Muridae. The record is from RNAcentral.
GAGGCUGGUGAAGUGGGAGGGCCCAGAGGACCCAGGGGCCCAGGAUUAGGGAGCCCCAGAGGUUCCGUGGAGGAUUUGGUGGUCUUAGGGGCCAUGGUUAUGGUUGAGGCUUUGGGCCUGUGGAGGUAAAGCUGAAGACAAAAUGUGGAUCCUCGUCACCAAUCUGGGCGGCCUGGUUAAAACAUGAAGCUCAAGUCCUUGGAGGAGAUGUACCUGUUCUCCCUGCCCAUUAAGGAGUCUGAGAUUAUUGACUUUUUCCUGGGUGCAUCCCUAAAGCAUGAGGUUCUGAAAAUCUUGCCAGUGCAGAAGCAGACUCGGGCUGGCCAGCGGACCAGGUUCAAGGCUUUUGUUGCUAUGCACGUUGGUCUUGCUGUUAAGUGCACCAAGGAGGUUGCCACUGCCAUCUGUGGGGCCAUCAUCUUGGCCAAGCUUUCCAUCGUUUUGUGUGGAGAAGCUAUUCAGGGAUCAAGAUUGGCAAGCCCCACACUGUUCCAUGCAAGGUGACAGGCCACUGUGCUUCUGUCCUGGUUUGUCUCAUCCCUGCACCCAGAGGCACUGGCAUUGUCUCUGCUCCUGGGCUGAAGAAGCUACUGAUGAUGGCUGGUAUAGAUGACUGUUACGCUUCAGCCAGAGGCUUCACUGCCACCCUGGGCAACUUUGCCAGAGCCAACUUUGAUAUCAUCUCCAAGACCUACAGCUACCUGACCCCCACACUCUGGAAAGAGACUAUGUUCACCAAGUCUCCUUAUCAGGAAUUCACUCACCAUCUUGUGAAAACCCACAGCAGAGUCUCUGUUCAGAGGACCCAGGCUCCAGCUGUGGUUACCACAUAA